CACAUGCAAGUCGAACGGCAGCAUGAUCUAGCUUGCUAGAUUGAUGGCGAGUGGCGAACGGGUGAGUAAUACAUCGGAACGUGCCCUGUAGUGGGGGAUAACUAGUCGAAAGAUUAGCUAAUACCGCAUACGACCUGAGGGUGAAAGUGGGGGACCGCAAGGCCUCAUGCUAUAGGAGCGGCCGAUGUCUGAUUAGCUAGUUGGUGAGGUAAAGGCUCACCAAGGCGACGAUCAGUAGCUGGUCUGAGAGGACGAUCAGCCACACUGGGACUGAGACACGGCCCAGACUCCUACGGGAGGCAGCAGUGGGGAAUUUUGGACAAUGGGGGCGACCCUGAUCCAGCAAUGCCGCGUGUGUGAAGAAGGCCUUCGGGUUGUAAAGCACUUUUGUCCGGAAAGAAAUCGCACUUACUAAUAUUAGGUGUGGAUGACGGUACCGGAAGAAUAAGGACCGGCUAACUACGUGCCAGCAGCCGCGGUAAUACGUAGGGUCCAAGCGUUAAUCGGAAUUACUGGGCGUAAAGCGUGCGCAGGCGGUUGUGCAAGACCGAUGUGAAAUCCCCGGGCUUAACCUGGGAAUUGCAUUGGUGACUGCACGGCUAGAGUGUGUCAGAGGGGGGUAGAAUUUCCACGUGUAGCAGUGAAAUGCGUAGAGAUGUGGAGGAAUACCGAUGGCGAAAGCAGCCCCCUGGGAUACACUGACGNUCAUGCACGAANGNGUGGGNAGCAAACANGGAUUAGAACCCUGGUAGUCCACGCCCUAAAACGAUGUCAACUAGUUGUUGGGGAUUCAUUUCCUUAGUAACGUAGCUAACGCGUGAAAGUUGACCGCCUGGGGAGUACGGUCGCAAGAUUAAAAACUCAAAGGAAUUGACGGGGACCCGCACAAGCGGUGGAUGAUGUGGAUUAAUUCGAUGCAACGCGAAAAACCUUACCUACCCUUGACAUGCCACUAACGAAGCAGAGAUGCAUUAGGUGCUCGAAAGAGAAAGUGGACACAGGUGCUGCAUGGCUGUCGUCAGCUCGUGUCGUGAGAUGUUGGGUUAAGUCCCGCAACGAGCGCAACCCUUGUCUCUAGUUGCUACGAAAGGGCACUCUAGAGAGACUGCCGGUGACAAACCGGAGGAAGGUGGGGAUGACGUCAAGUCCUCAUGGCCCUUAUGGGUAGGGCUUCACACGUCAUACAAUGGUGCAUACAGAGGGUUGCCAAGCCGCGAGGUGGAGCUAAUCCCAGAAAAUGCAUCGUAGUCCGGAUCGUAGUCUGCAACUCGACUACGUGAAGCUGGAAUCGCUAGUAAUCGCGGAUCAGCAUGCCGCGGUGAAUACGUUCCCGGGUCUUGUACACACCGCCCGUCACACCAUGGGAGUGGGUUUUGCCAGAAGUAGUUAGCCUAACCGCAAGGGGGGCGAUUACCACGGCAGGGUUCAUGACUGGGGUGGAGUCGUAA
Molecule: ribosomal RNA, 1448 nt
Filed under: uncultured Ralstonia sp.
Lineage: Bacteria; Pseudomonadati; Pseudomonadota; Betaproteobacteria; Burkholderiales; Burkholderiaceae
Description: bacterial SSU rRNA
Rfam family: Bacterial small subunit ribosomal RNA
Source: RNAcentral